GAUGAACGCUGGCGGCGUGGAUAAGGCAUGCAAGUCGAGGGGUAGAGGCUUUCGGGCCUUGAGACCGGCGCACGGGUGCGUAACGCGUAUGCAAUCUGCCUUGUACUGGGGGAUAGCCCAGAGAAAUUUGGAUUAAUACCCCAUAGUAUUUUCGGUUGGCAUCAACUGAUUAUUAAAGUUUUUCGGUACAAGAUGAGCAUGCGUCCCAUUAGCUAGUUGGUAUGGUAACGGCAUACCAAGGCUACGAUGGGUAGGGGUCCUGAGGGGGAGAUCCCCCACACUGGUACUGAGACACGGACCAGACUCCUACGGGAGGCAGCAGUGAGGAAUAUUGGUCAAUGGUCGCAAGACUGAACCAGCCAUGCCGCGUGCAGGAUGAAGCAUCUAUGGUGUGUAAACUGCUUUUGUACGGGAAGAAACGCUCCUACGUGUAGGGGCUUGACGGUACCGUAAGAAUAAGGAUCGGCUAACUCCGUGCCAGCCGCCGCGGUAA
This 493-nucleotide ribosomal RNA is filed under the name uncultured bacterium. Its description in RNAcentral is "partial 16S ribosomal RNA". It matches the Rfam family "Bacterial small subunit ribosomal RNA", at positions 28 to 523 of the family's 1533-position model. The record is from RNAcentral.